UGGCACCUCGAUGUCGGCUCGUCGCAUCCUGGGGCUGGAGUAGGUCCCAAGGGUUGGGCUGUUCGCCCAUUAAAGCGGUACGCGAGCUGGGUUUAGAACGUCGUGAGACAGUUCGGUCCCUAUCCGCCGCGCGCGUCAGAGACCUGCGAAGGGCUGUUCCUAGUACGAGAGGACCGGAACGGACGAACCUCUGGUGUGCCAGUUGUACCGCCAGGUGCACGGCUGGUUGGCCACGUUCGGCAAGGAUAACCGCUGAAAGCAUCUAAGCGGGAAGCCUGCUUCUAGAUGAGGUCUCUCACCCACACCGAUGGGGUAAGGCCCCCGCCCAGACCAGCGGGUUGAUAGGCCGGAGGUGUAAACACCGCAAGGUGUGCCAGCCGACCGGUACUAACAGGCCGAGGACUUCACCACACCCCC
This 417-nucleotide ribosomal RNA is filed under the name Geodermatophilus sp. TF02-6. RNAcentral's name for it is "bacterial LSU rRNA". It matches the Rfam family "Bacterial large subunit ribosomal RNA", at positions 2519 to 2925 of the family's 2925-position model. Lineage: Bacteria; Bacillati; Actinomycetota; Actinomycetes; Geodermatophilales; Geodermatophilaceae. The record is from RNAcentral.